RNAcentral lists this unclassified non-coding RNA (360 nucleotides) under Hevea brasiliensis (rubber tree). The record is from RNAcentral. Lineage: Eukaryota; Viridiplantae; Streptophyta; Magnoliopsida; Malpighiales; Euphorbiaceae.
AGUACUGGAUUACACGAUUGAGUUGUUCAGGGUUCAGAUAGGAAAAACAUCUUGGGGACUAGAGAUAGAGGGAAUCGACAGAUGCGCAGCAGUAGCGCGCGGGAAACAGGACAUCACGAUUGCGUUGCAUGUCGUCGGCUGCGCAGCGGCGGCGCGGGGCUUAAGACCUGCUCUUGAAUGGGAUCGCCCUGAUGAUCACCUGGUGGUAGAUGGCAGCCAGGGCAGCGCCAACGAAGGGACCAACCCAGAAGAUCCAAUGGUCAUUCCAGGCAUGGUCCUUGUUGUAGAUGAUGGCAGCGCCAAGGCUCCUGGCUGGGUUGAUGCCAGUACCGGUGAUGGGGAUGGUGGCCAGGUGGACCA